UGCCUACGGGGCGCAGCAGUGGGGAAUAUUGCACAAUGGGGGAAAGCCUGAUGGAGCGACGCCGCGUGGGUGAAGAAGGUCUUCGGAUCGUAAAACCCUGUUGUUGGAGAAGAAAGUGCGUGAGAGUAACUGUUCACAUUUCGACGGUAUCUAACCAGAAAGCCACGGCUAACUACGUGCCAGCGGCCGCGGUAAUACGUAGGUGGCAAGCGUUAUCCGGAUUUAUUGGGCGUAAAGGGAACGCAGGCGGUCUUUUAAGUCUGAUGUGAAAGCCUUCGGCUUAACCGGAGUAGUGCGUUGGAAAC
This 305-nucleotide ribosomal RNA is filed under the name uncultured bacterium. Its description in RNAcentral is "bacterial SSU rRNA". It matches the Rfam family "Bacterial small subunit ribosomal RNA", at positions 335 to 633 of the family's 1533-position model. The record is from RNAcentral.